CCAGCUCCAAGUCCAUCGAUCUAAGGCUCCCCUACAAAGAUGGGAAAAAGGGGGGUGAGUUUGGAAAACUCAGUGUGUAAAGUAUCCCAACCAGAGCCCAAAUCAGUUCAAGCUUUACUAGGCCUAAGCCCUAUUCAGAAUUUAGUGUUAACUGGGCCUUAGCCCAUAUCAGUAUUAAUCUGGGCCAUAGCCCUAUUACAAUAUCAGAGCAUACUGGGCCUAGCCCAUAUCAGUAUCAGUCUGGGCCGUAGCUCUAUUACAAGUCGAGAUAUAUUGGGUCUUGCCCAUAUUAACACAGUUGGGCCCAUUUUAAUACAGUUGGCCCAUAAUAAAACAGUCUCAUAUGAUUAAUGCAUGAUAACCCCAUCCAACCCUGCACUUGCCUCCGUCCAUCCCUACACUUCCUUUGGGGAAUAAAUCACCCACGCCAUCCCUACACUUACAGUGUUAGCACCGAUUGCGGUACUAACUAUAAUCCGCGGUAAAGCUGUUUAUAUCAGAAUAUGUGGCACAGCCACCAGAACGGGUUCUUCCUCCAUAACAAAACCCAACCCCUUGCAACAGAUAUACAUGUUAUGGCAUAUAACAAACAGAAUCAGCAUAUUAUGCAUUUCAGUCAAAAUUAACCCUAGGGGUAUAACGGUCAUUUUGCACCUAGGGGUAAAAUAGUAAUUUUCAUACUUAAGGGUAUUUUAGUAAAAUUGACUAUUGUAGGGUUUACAUGCUUAUUACAGUUCUUAACGUAGUAACAGAAACACUUACCAAGGGUUCUUACCAAAUUGGGCCCGUUGGCCCAUUAUUCUAAUUUUGGCCCGUUAAGCCCAAAAAUAUCAAGGGCACAGAAAUCAUGCACUUUGCAGACUAAACAUAGCAGCUUACCAAAAACAUUAAUCGAUUUACCUCACGACCAUUCGCACACUCGUAAAUCUACAAAAUACUGGUUUUCGGCAUUUCGGCUUUCGGCUUUUGCCGAUCUAGACUAUGAAAGGGUGUCAGUUACACACCUGUUUUAUGACGAUUCGCUGACGAGAUCCACACACGAAUUGCCUACAAUUAUAUUACUACCACUUUAAUCUAACUACCGAAACGAACUACAUAUUCACUCCUUACCAUAUUCGGCCAAUAACACCUUAGGCCUUAGCGUUCCUACCUUUGUCGAAAGUAGCGUCUCGAUCCAGAUCCGUUCGCUCCACUUGUCCAAGCCCUUGAUCAACAGCCUCUUAAUCACACUAUUACCAAAUUAAUACUGUUACCACAACCCCUUAGGGCUACAAGUCCAUAAACGACAGCCUCCCUAACUUUUAAGGAUUCCAGCUUUUCUUAAAAUACGAAAGAUAGACUAAGUUGGAAAGACUUACCAUCGAUUCUUUCAGUCAACGUCCCCCCUUAGUUCCUACUUGAUUCUGAUGCAGCUUUAAGCCCUCAAACGAUAACAAAAGUCGAGCCUUCAGUGAUCUCAAUAUUUAGCUAUGUCCUUAGGAUAGUGUGGGAUUUCCGGCUUUUUACAGAAGUGUAGAGAAAGCUAAAAUAUGAGGGUUAAUUUUCAUAAAAAUUAAAAUAUUAGUAAUAACAUAAAUAUUUUAUCAAUAUAUAUUUUUUCAAACACUAGUAAUAUUUAAAACUUCUCAAUAUUCAGGUUUUCGUCUAUUCAAAUCCCAGACUCAAAGCCAACUCUUCUAGGCCCAAUUUUUGGGACGUUACAACUCUAUCCCCCUAAAAAAAAAAUUUCGUCCUCGAAAUUUCCAACUAUCAACUAACUGUAUUACUCAAGUCAAACCACUAUGCUUCUGUUGCGCACUCUAGCUCUAAUUGUAAAUUAAGUAAUUAAUACACCAUGAGAGAAGUACGUACCAGCAUCUGCUUCCGGAGCAUCUCCAUUCUCACAGCGACAUGCUGCAUAGACCAAAGCUGGUUGUCUCGCCUCAGCAUGUCCCUUACCCCUAUCUGGUGCUCCAUGACCACGACCCAUUCCAUUGCUACGGCCUCUUACUGGCUUCUGACCACCCCUCGGCGGCUGUAUAUUACCCGUACCAGUAGUUUGUCCAUAAUCUGGUCUCCGAGGACACUCUUUGAAACGAUGCUCCAUCGAUCCGCAUCUUAAACAGGCUCCAAUCCUUUUCCAGCAUUCGCCAUAAUGGCUUUUCCCGCAAUCAACACAAGGUUGUAAUCUAACAGCAGCAACAGGGGCUUCAGCUCGGACCGGCCCAUCUGCCCUGGUACCUUUCCUGUGCCUUUGAUCAGAAUUGGAGGGCUUUAAAUCCAUUUUGUUUCUACCCCAUUUCUUUUCCCAGCUCUGUCGCUCAGCGCGCUUCACAUCCUCAGCUAUUUUAGCUUUCUCUACUAAUGCCGCAAAAUCUCGCUCCCUCUGCGGAGCUAUUAAUACCCGUAGACUAUCCCGGAGGCCAUCCUCGAACCGAACACAACGUUCGCACUCUAUUGCUACUAUUCUACGGGCAUAUCGGCUAAGUCGCAAAAACUCUGCCUCAUACUCAGCCACAGACCGAUCCCCUUGAGUUAAGUUUAAGAAUUCCUUCCUCUGGGCAUCUACAUAGCUUGCCCCAACAUACUUCCCUUGAAAUGCGGAUUUAAAGAAUUCCCAGGUAAUUCGCUCGAGUUGGGUACCCUCUUUCACAGUCAACCACCACUGGUAAACUUCCCCCCUAAGUAGUGAUAUCGCCCCUUUCAGCUUUUGUUCAGUCGUGCAAUCCAGGUCAUCAAUUAUUCUCUCCGUGGCUUCCAACCAGUACUCAGCCACAUUCGGGGCUACUCCAGAAAUACCCUUAAAAACUUCUGCUCCAUUUGAUUGGAAACGUUCCGAAACUGACCCACAGCUUCCGGUACCAGUGUUGGGUCUAGCGACCCUCUCCAGAAUACGAAGCAUGGCUUGGGACAGUGCGUCAUCCCUAGCCGUACGAUCAUACGGUCUUGUCCCACUAUCUGUCGUAGGCGAUGCCGGUGUCUCACUAGCGUCCACCACAGGUAUAGUAUCAAAGGCAAGGGACUUAGCUCGAGCCCCUCUACGGCCUCUACCACGGCCCCUAGUACCCCGUCCACGAGUACCACGUGUGCUCAUUGUAUCUAUCGAAUUGUCUGUAUUAAGAGUUUUAUGCACAGAUAGAGUUUCAGAGUUCGCUUUCACAAAUCUCAACCUAGCUACAGUCUCAAUCUUAUAGUCUCAAUAUAGCUUUAACUACAAUGUCAUAGCAGAGUCUUAGUACUAUAACAGAUACUUACUAAAGUUUAGAAAAGGUACUUACAGACUUGGUGCCGGGGAUUCAAUGUGCCACUUCUUCAGAAAUCAGCAAUUCAAAUUUAUUCUUUGUGCAUUUUGAAAACAAAAUUUAACAGAAUUUUCUAACAUUUUCACAAAAUCGAUUUUAGUGUUUUUCCAUAGAACUAGAGUUUAAAAUUUUAUAAAAACUUUUAGACCCAAUCCACAGCCGAGUUGUUGCAACCGGGCUCUGAUACCACUAAAUGUAACACCUCAAACCCGACCUAGACGUUACGAUCGAAUUCGGCGUGUCACGUUGAAGUGUUUUUCGAAAACCAUGUUUUCAUUAAAAACCCUUCUUGAUGUAAAACUCAUUGGAGCGUUAUUGUAAAACUCAUGUUUUAAUUAAAAAUCUUUGAAAAUAAUAUUUUCGUUAUAGAUUAAAGUGAAUGGAAGCUGUGUACCAGGUAGGAAGCUAGAAAAGAGGAGGUGAGUCUAUUGGACUGCUUAAGUACCAAGCUCUUCAUGGAUCCAAUCCUAGACAUGCACAUAUCCAUUGCCACACUUAAAGCAUAUUACUUGUCCACGAACAACAAAUUAAGUUUAAGUCCAUUUAAAAUAUUUAUUUCCUUUGAAAACAUUUACGUUGCGGAAGCUUUGCUCGGAAAUCGUGAUAAUUUGAAAAUAAGUAACUUUUAUAAAACGCGCCCUAGAGCUAACCAAUUUAAUAACCCAAAAUAUUAAAAAUAAUAAAAAGAUCGGCCUUAUUACAACUUAAACCAGAAUAAAAAUAAUCAAAAUAAUAAAUGCGAAACUUAUUUUAAAGAAAACAGAAACUUAAUCUUCGUGGCCACUCUGAAUCCCGCCCAGCUCCAAGUCCAUCGAUCUAAGGCUCCCCUGCAAAGAUGGGAAAAAGGGGGGGUGAGUUUGGAAAACUCAGUGUGUAAAGUAUCCCAACCAGAGCCCAAAUCAGUUCAAGCUUUACUAGGCCUAAGCCCUAUUCAGAAUUUAGUGUUAACUGGGCCUUAGCCCAUAUCAGUAUUAAUCUGGGCCAUAGCCCUAUUACAUUAUCAGAGCAUACUGGGCCUAGCCCAUAUCAGUAUCAGUCUGGGCCGUAGCCCUAUUACAAGUCGAGAUAUAUUGGGUCUUGCCCAUAUUAACACAGUUGGGCCCAUUUUAAUACAGUUGGCCCUUAAUAAAACAGUCUCAUAUGAUUAAUGCAUGAUAACCCCAUCCAACCCUGCACUUGCCUCCGUCCAUCCCUACACUUCCUGUGGGGAAUAAAUCACCCACGCCAUCCCUACACUUACAGUGUUAGCACCGAUUGCGGUACUAACUAUAAUCCGCAGCAAAGCUGAUUAUAUUAGAAUAUGUGGCACAGCCACCAGAACGGGUUCUUCCUCCAUAACAAAACCCAACCCCAUGCAACAGAUAUACAUGUCAUGGCAUAUAACAAACAGAAUCAGCAUAUUAUGCAUUUCAGUCAAAAUUAACCCUAGGGGUAUAACGGUCAUUUUGCACCUAGGGGUAAAACAGUAAUUUUCAUACUUAAGGGUAUUUUAGUAAAAUUGACUAUUGUAGGGUUUACAUGCUUAUUACAGUUCUUAACUUAGUAACAGAAACACUUACCAAGGGUUCUUACCAAAUUGGGCCCGUUGGCCUAUUAUUCCAAUUUUGGCCCGUUAAGCCCAAAAAUAUCGAGGGCACAGAAAUCAUGCACUUUGCAGACUAAACAUAGCAGUUUACCAAAAACAUUAAUCGAUUUACCUCACGACCAUUCGCACACUCGCAAAUGUACAAAAUACUGGUUUUCGGCAUUUCGACUUUCGGCUUUUGCCGAUCUAGACUAUGAAAGGGUGUCAGUUACACACCUGUUUUAUGAUGAUUCGCUGACGAGAUCCACACACGAACUGCCUACAAUUAUAUUACUACCACGUUAAUCUAACUACCGAAACGAACUACAUAUUCACUCCUUACCAUAUUCGGCCAAUAACACCUUAGGCCUUAGCGUUCCUACCUUUGCCGAAAGUAGCGUCUCGAUCCAGAUCCGUUCGCUCCACUUGUCCAAGCCCUUGAUCAACAACCUCUUAAUCAUACUAUUACCAAAUUAAUACUGUUACCACAACCCCUUAGGGCUACAAGUCCAUAAACGACAGCCUCCCUAACUUUUAAGGAUUCCAGCUUUUCUUAAAAUACGAAAGAUAGACUAAGUUGGAAAGACUUACCAUCGAUUCUUUUAGUCAACGUCCCCUCCCUUAGUUCCUACUUGAUUCUGAUGCAGCUUUAAGCCCUUAAACGAUAACAAAAGUCGAGCCUUCAGUAAUCUCAGUAUUCGGCUAUGUCCCUAGGAUAGUGUGGGAUUUCUGACUUUUUGCAGAAGUGUAGAGAAAGAUAAAAUAUGAGGGUUUUUACUUGUGGUAUUGUCGACAUAAACCUGGGGUUUAGAGGAGGAGAGAAUCGGCCAAAGAUGAUGAGAAAAAUAAAAGAUUCGGCUAGUUGGAAAAGAAAAUCAAAGGAAUAAAUAAAUUAAGAAUAAGGGAGAAGAUUUUGUGAAAAGUGAAUGAGCAAAAUAAAAAUCAAUUGAAAAUAAAAAGAAACAGAUUCGACUAAUUGGCUAAGAAUAUAUAAUCCCAAUUUAAAUCUCGUGCCUAUCUCCUUCUUUAUAGCCAACAACAUAUUUUGAAAUUAAUUCAAACUCUCCUUGCGCAAACAACAGCAAGAGUCCUCCGCUUGGCUGACUCACCUUGCACCUUGCUGCUGGGGGGAGUUUCAAUCCCGUACGGCCCUUUUCCUGCACGCAACGCUGCUCGAACACGGGACCUUCAGAGUACCCAACACACUGCUGACCACUGGGACGGGCCUCCUUCUUUGAUAUAAUAGCGUCGCGUUUACGUUUAAACCUUACCUGCUGACAUCCUGAGUUCUUUUAAAAAUAAAACAGAACAUACAUGCACCUGGAGUGUAGAGAAAGAUAAAAUAUGAGGGUUUUUACUUGUGGUAUUGUCGACAUAAACCUGGGGUUUAGAGGAGGAGAGAAUCGGCCAAAGAUGAUGAGAAAAAUAAAAGAUUCGGCUAGUUGGAAAAGAAAAUCAAAGGAAUAAAUAAAUUAAGAAUAAGGGAGAAGAUUUUGUGAAAAGUGAAUGAGCAAAAUAAAAAUAAAUUGAAAAUAAAAAGAAACAGAUUCGACUAAUUGGCUAAGAAUAUAUAAUCCCAAUUUAAAUCUCGUGCCUAUCUCCUUCUUUAUAGCCAACAACAUAUUUUGAAAUUAAUUCAAACUCUCCUUGCGCAAACAACAGCAAGAGUCCUCCGCUUGGCUGACUCACCUUGCACCUGGUGCAUGUAUGUUCUGUUUUAUUUUUAAAAGAACUCAGGAUGUCAGCAGGUAAGGUUUAAACGUAAACGCGACGCUAUUAUAUCAAAGAAGGAGGCCCGUCCCAGUGGUCAGCAGUGUGUUGGGUACUCUGAAGGUCCCGUGUUCGAG
Molecule: long non-coding RNA, 6692 nt
Filed under: Gossypium barbadense (sea-island cotton)
Lineage: Eukaryota; Viridiplantae; Streptophyta; Magnoliopsida; Malvales; Malvaceae
Description: long non-coding RNA (GBAR_LNC001238)
Source: RNAcentral